AUACGUAGGGUGCAAGCGUUAAUCGGAAUUACUGGGCGUAAAGCGUGCGCAGGCGGUUUUGUAAGACAGAGGUGGAAUCCCCGGGCUCAACCUGGGAACUGCCUUUGUGACUGCAAGGCUAGAGUACGGCAGAGGGGGAAGGAAUUCCGCGUGACGGAGUGAAAUGCGUAGAUAUGCGGAGGAACACCGAUGGCGAAGGCAAUCCCCUGGGCCUGUACUGACGCUCAUGCACGAAAGCGUGGGGAGCAAACAGGAUUAGAUACCCUGGUAGUCCACGCCCUAAACGAUGUCAACUGGUUGUUGGGUCUUCAUUGACUCAGUAACGAAGCUAACGCGUGAAGUUGACCGCCUGGGGAGUACGGCCGCAAGGUUGAAACUCAAAUGAAUUGGCGGGG
RNAcentral lists this ribosomal RNA (395 nucleotides) under uncultured bacterium. Its description in RNAcentral is "partial 16S ribosomal RNA". It matches the Rfam family "Bacterial small subunit ribosomal RNA", at positions 523 to 918 of the family's 1533-position model. The record is from RNAcentral.